This 759-nucleotide ribosomal RNA is filed under the name Auriscalpium orientale. RNAcentral describes it as "partial large subunit ribosomal RNA". It matches the Rfam family "Eukaryotic large subunit ribosomal RNA", at positions 167 to 908 of the family's 3401-position model. Lineage: Eukaryota; Fungi; Basidiomycota; Agaricomycetes; Russulales; Auriscalpiaceae. The record is from RNAcentral.
GUGCUGGACCGUGUACAAGUCUCCUGGAACGGAGCGUCAUAGAGGGUGAGAAUCCCGUCUUUGACACGGACUACCAGUGCUCUGUGAUGCGCUCUCAAAGAGUCGAGUUGUUUGGGAAUGCAGCUCAAAAUGGGUGGUGAAUUCCAUCUAAAGCUAAAUAUUGGCGAGAGACCGAUAGCGAACAAGUACCGUGAGGGAAAGAUGAAAAGCACUUUGGAAAGAGAGUUAAACAGUACGUGAAAUUGUUGAAAGGGAAACGCUUGAAGUCAGUCGCGUUCCUCGAGACUCAGCCUUGCCUUUCCGGCCUGGUGUACUUCUCGUUGAACGGGCCAGCAUCAAUUUUGACCGUCGGAUAAAGGCGAGGGGAAGGUGGCACCUUUCGGGGUGUGUUAUAGCCUCUCGUCACAUACGCCGGUUGGGAUUGAGGACCGCAGCACGCCUUUAAUGGUCGGGGUUCGCCCACGUUCGUGCUUGGGAUGCUGGCGUAAUGGCUUUAAACGACCCGUCUUGAAACACGGACCAAGGAGUCUAACAUGCCCGCGAGUGUUCGGGUGGAAAACCCGUGCGCGUAAUGAAAGUGAAAGUUGGGACCUCUGUCGUGGAGGGCACCGACGCCCGGACCAGACCUUCUGUGACGGAUCUGCGGUAGAGCGUGUAUGUUGGGACCCGAAAGAUGGUGAACUAUGCCUGAAUAGGGUGAAGCCAGAGGAAACUCUGGUGGAGGCUCGUAGCGAUUCUGACGUGCAAAUCGAUCGUCAA